Molecule: ribosomal RNA, 439 nt
Filed under: uncultured bacterium
Lineage: Bacteria
Description: partial 16S ribosomal RNA
Rfam family: Bacterial small subunit ribosomal RNA
Source: RNAcentral
CUACGGGUGGCACCAGUGAGGAAUAUUGCACAAUGGGGGGAACCCUGAUGCAGCAACGCCGCGUGGAGGAUGACGCAUUUCGGUGUGUAAACUCCUUUUAUAUGUCAAGAAAAUGACGGUAGCAUAUGAAUAAGCACCGGCUAACUCCGUGCCAGCAGCCGCGGUAAUACGGAGGGUGCAAGCGUUACUCGGAAUCACUGGGCGUAAAGGACGCGUAGGCGGGUGGGAAAGUCAGGUGUGAAAUCCUACAGCUUAACUGUAGAACUGCACUUGAAACUUCUAAUCUAGAGUAUGGGAGGGGGAGAUGGAAUUAGUGGUGUAGGGGUAAAAUCCGUAGAUAUCACUAGGAAUACCUAAAGCGAAGGCGAUCUCCUGGAACAUUACUGACGCUAAGGCGUGAAAGCGUGGGGAGCAAACAGGAUUAGAUACCCCCGUAGUC